GUGGGUAGUUUGACUGGGGCGGUCUCCUCCUAAAGAGUAACGGAGGAGCACGAAGGUUGGCUAAUCCUGGUCGGACAUCAGGAGGUUAGUGCAAUGGCAUAAGCCAGCUUGACUGCGAGCGUGACGGCGCGAGCAGGUGCGAAAGCAGGUCAUAGUGAUCCGGUGGUUCUGAAUGGAAGGGCCAUCGCUCAACGGAUAAAAGGUACUCCGGGGAUAACAGGCUGAUACCGCCCAAGAGUUCAUAUCGACGGCGGUGUUUGGCACCUCGAUGUCGGCUCAUCACAUCCUGGGGCUGAAGUAGGUCCCAAGGGUAUGGCUGUUCGCCAUUUAAAGUGGUACGCGAGCUGGGUUUAGAACGUCGUGAGACAGUUCGGUCCCUAUCUGCCGUGGGCGCUGGAGAACUGAGGGGGGCUGCUCCUAGUACGAGAGGACCGGAGUGGACGC
Molecule: ribosomal RNA, 444 nt
Filed under: Escherichia coli
Lineage: Bacteria; Pseudomonadati; Pseudomonadota; Gammaproteobacteria; Enterobacterales; Enterobacteriaceae
Also listed under: 2 other names
Description: partial 23S ribosomal RNA
Rfam family: Bacterial large subunit ribosomal RNA
Source: RNAcentral